This 1460-nucleotide long non-coding RNA is filed under the name Nicotiana benthamiana. Its description in RNAcentral is "long non-coding RNA (NBEN_LNC023402)". Lineage: Eukaryota; Viridiplantae; Streptophyta; Magnoliopsida; Solanales; Solanaceae. The record is from RNAcentral.
UCCUCCCUUUCCUCUUCUUCACAAAAUUCCGUCCUUGCUCAGCCAUGGAAGAACUUGCCAUUACCAUUUUUGAAUAAGAAGCUCUGCACCUCAUUUAAUUUUCUUCAACACCAACGUUCAAAUUUCAAACGUUCAAUAGCUUCCCACUCAAUUUCAGAAUCCCGCCCAAAUCAAGAAACCAAGAAAUCAGCCUAUAAAUACUCGCAUCUGGAAGCAACUUUGGACCAUCUUUACCUGCUGCUACCAACCUGAAUAUUCACUUGCUCUUCGCUCAUUUUUACCUCUUUAAAGAAACUGCUCUACAAACUUAGCUUCUUGGCCUUUGUUGGUUUCUCAACAGAAACAGAGGCAUUUUGGUGUUUAUUCCGGUGUUUAAUGGCAGUUUGAGAUGGCGCUUUUGUGGUCGGAGUUGGGUAGAUCCAAAGCUAGCGGCUUAGUUCACUGCCCUGAAAUAGGUCAGUAUCUUUCUCCUUUUUUUUUUCUGUUGUCUUAUUAAAGUAUGUUGACAAUUUAGCAUGUGUGUUUGAAGUAGUGUUAUUUUUGGUUUGUGUCUCACCUUUUUUUCCAUAUCACAAGAAUAGGUGUUGAACUACACCUCUCUGUCGAUCCGAAAUGAUGUAUAAAUAAACAUGAAUUUCUGACAUAUUUAGUUGUUGGUUCACUUUUCUUUGAAGAAAUACCAUACUUCUGCAUCUUUAGUUAAAGUUGAGGAAAAUGUGCUUAUUCUCAUAUUUGUUGUUUUGAAAGAUUAGACCAUUCUAGUUUUGAAGAUUGAUGGAAAAUAUAAUGGUAGUUUCAAACUCGCGAUUAAAAUAAGAAAUUUUAUUUAGUCAAGCUUUUCACGGCAAUACCAUAAAUUAUGCUAAUAAGUGAGAAUCGAUAGUUUAAUCUAAUUAUUUUAGCAAUGUGCAUCUUAAGUUUAAUCAGUAGUUUAGUCAUUAAGUAUGCAUAAAAGAGUGGAUCUAUUCUGUUGGAAAAUUAUUCUCUUUGUUGUCCUAUUGCGCAUGAUAGAAAAAUAUCUUUAUAGGAUUUAUUGAUUGUGCAAUUCAAUAUCUAUUUACCUAUAUAUGACAUAUUCUAAAAUCUAAUUUUCAAGUUAAGGUUGUGGUAGGUUUGUCAUUGCUGAUUUAAGUUUAAAACAGUGGAAACCAUGAAUAUAGUAUAUUUUUGUCUCACAUUGUACUUUCUUUUACGCCUUAAACGUCUGUUUAUAGGAUAUUUUCAAUAUUUGUUUUUAAAAAAAAUAAAAGAAUAGCUGGAAAAACUUUUCACUUCGUAAAAUAGUGAAUCAAGGUUACAAAGACAAAUAGACAACCCAUUUAUGAAUGUGCUGAUUAGACUAACUAUUGUUUGUUUAUCCAAGUAACAAGAAAUUGUUAUGAAAUAAUAUAAUAACAAGAAAAAUAAUACAAGAACAAGAACAAUAGAGAGAAAAAGUAGAGAGAGGAGUAUUCUUAUUG